UGCAAUAGUGUUUUGGAAAGCUGGGA
This 26-nucleotide non-coding RNA is filed under the name Mus musculus (house mouse). Lineage: Eukaryota; Metazoa; Chordata; Mammalia; Rodentia; Muridae. The record is from RNAcentral.